GGAACAAGAGGAUGUACUCCCGGGAACAAUGGCUGCUUCUCAUUUUAGUCAAAGUCUCCUGCAUCAGAGAAGUGAGAUUGUCUUUCUCUGCUGUGACACAAGAAAAUCCUUUAAUUAAAUCUAGUCUGUGUCCAUCAUCUCCAGGCCAACCCGAGAGAGAUGCUCUAAAUGAUUAAGAGAAAACUUAAAAAAAGUUUAAACGGAGGCGAUAAUUAACUUGUGCAAUUCACUUGUAAAUGCAUUCAGUCUUCAUCUGCGUGAGAAUGGUCCCCACAACAAUGCAGCCGCCUGAAGCUUCCCAGGUCUCUGAAGGCAAAGGGUAAUUGGCAAAGAAUGCUGAAGUCCGGAAGGAAUUCCUCCCACUGAGCUGGUGCAAGACAAUGCUGGAUGGGAGCCCUGGGAGAAGUGGCAGGGAACCUUGGGCUGUCACCAGCUACACUGAUAAGAGAGAGUGAAUAGCACAACAAAACUUCUCUUUUGGUUUAGCUUUGGCCAAGAUAAAAAACCCAGCUUUGGCUCUUGUCUACAGAACUGAUGGGUCUGGGACGUCAUUAGGGAGACGAAGUAGGACAGCCCAGCUCUCUCUCCUGGUCUAGAUCACUGGAUGUGGAGCAUGGUUCUUGCUUUCUUUCUGCCUGGAAGGGACCCAUGCUGUCCUGGUGAGAGACUUCUAUGGGAGGACAACAGCUUGAGUGUGCUAGGGAAGGCUGGAGAGCAUCAGUCACACUUCCUUACCACCGCCUGGUUUCCUGAACUGCAGACAUAACGGCGAAAGAGUGAACUUCAUGAAGGCUUUGGGAAAUGUUUUAGAUAUCAUUUUCUGCAGUGACGACUCCCUCCUUUGCUCUCUUAUGUGAACAGACAGCUUCCUAAUCGCGUGGUCAGAUCCAACUAUCGUGAUAAGGUCUGCUUCCAGUGCAGACAGAAGACUUCCCAGCACCAGAAAGGCAAGCUGUACUGUCCCAUGCCUUCUGCCUCAAGGGAGCCUGGUGCCAAGCCAAGUGUCUUCUACAUGGAAUGAUGUCUAUGGACUAGGAAAUAGCGGUGGAGAAUUCAGAGACAUUUUGGAACAUGAUUUCAGUUGGGAAUUUAUCGAGAGUUCAAUUGAACCAUUUGAUGAAAACCCCAAAAAAGAACCCAUUGUGGAAUCUAAACAGAAAAAGCCAUCAGGAGAAAAUCCCCAGGUUAAUGCAGUGAGGACUCUGGCUGGGCAGGCCAUCCUGGCUGUCAACAGCAGUGGGACCGGAGCAGCCUACUUAGGAAUUUGGUCGAUAAGGAGAACACAACAAGAUAGUGGCAAGUAAAUUUUUCUUUCGAUUGCCAUCUGAGGAGUCUAGGACUUUCCCUGUAAUUUUAGAGUGAUUUUUUUAGUCUCCCUUUAUGGUCUUUACUGGGAUUACAACACCUUGGGGCUCUAACUCUGCUGACACUGGGUUCCAUAUCAAGGCUCUUCCUGAUUAUGGGGCAGCUGGAGAAUUUGAUCUUUAUCCUGCCUUUUACUGUAGUCCCACAGUCUGGGAAGGGCUACAAGGCCAGCAUCACGUAUACCAAGCUAUAGGGUGACUGGGACUUCUUGAGGGAGGUAUGUGGUCUGCAGGCUCUGCUAUCUGAUUUUAUUCUCCUGGGGCACUCUACAUUCAUCUGGGAUCCUAAUGCCUUCAUGGACAAAUAAGUCUUAUGAUCACGUUAAUAUUUAUUACAUGAAUGCUUUGCCCCAUCAUAUUUCUCCCUGCUCUUUGUCAAGCUAUGAGAAUUUAUUAUAUUCCUGACUUCUGUCUAAGCAUUGGGGAAAUGCUGAGGAGUUGGAUUGAUCUUCUCCAGGUAUCUCCACUCUACCUUCACAAGACUUUCUUCUACAUGCUUUGGUGGCGGAAUACUUCUGGGAUGCUAUGGCUGGAUUUUCACUCGGUAAAACUCUCUUUAAUGGUUCUGGCUGUUUUGUCGGUCUUCUAGUGUGCUCUAUCUUGGAAUAUGUAUUAUUCAGAAAUG
Oryctolagus cuniculus (rabbit) is the source of this 1989-nucleotide non-coding RNA. The record is from RefSeq and is a predicted model, not a curated record. Lineage: Eukaryota; Metazoa; Chordata; Mammalia; Lagomorpha; Leporidae.